AGAAAUACACAAGUGAGUCGACGAACAACAUCACUUGAUAAACUUGUCCGCAUCCUCCAAUUUCAGAUGGAAUUAGUAUUAAUCGCAUAUUCUCAUUGAGAACAAGAGAACAAUACAAAUUUUAACCAGAAUCAUUCUUGGAAGCUUGGCGACUUGGAAGAUUUAGGGAUUUUAGGGUUUGCGGUAUUGAACUUAGAUCUGAAAUUCGAGAAACUUGGUGAUUGUUUGAAGGAAAUGAGUUAGAGAUUUGGGAUGAGGGGAUAGAGGGGAUUGUGUGAUGUUAUUUGGGGUAACUUGGAGGUUGCGCCAUUGUCGGAGACGGUGAGGAUUAUAAGGCGGCGCUAGGGUUCAUGUUCAAAGGGUCUGAGAGAGAUAGAGGAAACUGAAACAGG
RNAcentral lists this long non-coding RNA (392 nucleotides) under Nicotiana benthamiana. RNAcentral describes it as "long non-coding RNA (NBEN_LNC010416)". The record is from RNAcentral. Lineage: Eukaryota; Viridiplantae; Streptophyta; Magnoliopsida; Solanales; Solanaceae.